UAUACAAAAAACCCACUGGUUGAGAUGGGCAUUGUUCCCGCACGGUUGGGAGAGAUCCUGGCCCCAACUCUAGAGCCACCCAUGCAACAGUAAAACACGUCUACAAAGCGGCUUCAGAAAGGCCGAGUGUUGACUUCAAGACAGAUUGUUGACGAACUGAGAGAAAAAGAAAGACAAGAGCAAGAGAAGAGAGAAGGUAUAGAGAUGAGAAGAAAAGAAGCUGAGGAGAGAAAGCAAAAGAAAGAACAAGAACGUGUUGAAAAGGAGCACAGAAAAACGGAAAGACUGGAGAAGAAACGACAAAGAGAAGAGAAGGCUACAAAAAGCAAACGGGCACGUGUGGAGGCCAUGGCAGAAGCGGCUGCUGCGGCAUAUUUAUUCGCCAAUCGCGGGGAGAGAGGACGUGUGGAUGAUGAAGAGAGGGGUGUUGAGUGGUAUGGGUGUGAUGGGUGUGAAUGUUGGUAUCAUGGUGGGUGUCUGACGCAGUAUGAGCUGAUGAUGGCGGUGACAAGUUUGUGUGAUGGGGUUGAAUGGACAUGUAAGAGGUGUAAUCCCUGGGAGUAUGAAGAAUGAGGUACAGUAUGUAUGUAGAUGAGAUUGCGUGUGCGCGUGAAGGCGAGAUUGCGUGUGCGCGUGAAGGCGAGAGUGCGUGUGUGCGA
Molecule: long non-coding RNA, 659 nt
Organism: Dreissena polymorpha
Lineage: Eukaryota; Metazoa; Mollusca; Bivalvia; Myida; Dreissenidae
Exons: 3
Source: RefSeq, a predicted model, not a curated record